RNAcentral lists this ribosomal RNA (497 nucleotides) under uncultured bacterium. Its description in RNAcentral is "partial 16S ribosomal RNA". It matches the Rfam family "Bacterial small subunit ribosomal RNA", at positions 28 to 507 of the family's 1533-position model. The record is from RNAcentral.
GAUGAACGCUGGCGGCGUGCCUAAUACAUGCCAGUCGAGCGAACGGACGAGAGGCUUGCUUUUCUGAUGUUAGCGGCGGACGGGUGAGUAACACGUGGAUAACCUACCUAUAAGACUGGGAUAACUUCGGGAAACCGGAGCUAAUACCGGAUAAUAUUUUGAACCGCAUGGUUCAAAAGUGAAAGACGGUCUUGCUGUCACUUAUAGAUGGAUCCGCGCUGCAUUAGCUAGUUGGUAAGGUAACGGCUUACCAAGGCAACGAUGCAUAGCCGACCUGAGAGGGUGAUCGGCCACACUGGAACUGAGACACGGUCCAGACUCCUACGGGAGGCAGCAGUAGGGAAUCUUCCGCAAUGGGCGAAAGCCUGACGGAGCAACGCCGCGUGAGUGAUGAAGGUCUUCGGAUCGUAAAACUCUGUUAUUAGGGAAGAACAUAUGUGUAAGUAACUGUGCACAUCUUGACGGUACCUAAUCAGAAAGCCACGGCUAACUACGUG